This 483-nucleotide ribosomal RNA is filed under the name uncultured bacterium. RNAcentral's name for it is "partial 16S ribosomal RNA". It matches the Rfam family "Bacterial small subunit ribosomal RNA", at positions 30 to 506 of the family's 1533-position model. The record is from RNAcentral.
AUUGAACGCUGGCGGCAGGCCUAACACAUGCAAGUCGAGCGGAUGAAGGGAGCUUGCUCCUGGAUUCAGCGGCGGACGGGUGAGUAAUGCCUAGGAAUCUGCCUGGUAGUGGGGGAUAACGUCCGGAAACGGGCGCUAAUACCGCAUACGUCCUGAGGGAGAAAGUGGGGGAUCUUCGGACCUCACGCUAUCAGAUGAGCCUAGGUCGGAUUAGCUAGUUGGUGGGGUAAAGGCCUACCAAGGCGACGAUCCGUAACUGGUCUGAGAGGAUGAUCAGUCACAAUGGAAGUGAGACACGGUCCAGACUCCGACGGGAGGCAGCAGUGGGGAAUAUUGGACACUGGGCGAAAGCCUGAUCCAGCCAUGCAGCGUGGGUGAAGAAGGUCUGCGGAUUGUAAAGCACUUUAAGUUGGGAGGAAGGGCAGUAAGUUAAUACCUUGCUGUUUUGACGUUACCAACAGAAUAAGCACCGGCUAACUUCGU